Molecule: unclassified non-coding RNA, 332 nt
Filed under: uncultured fungus
Lineage: Eukaryota; Fungi
Description: partial contains small subunit ribosomal RNA, internal transcribed spacer 1, and 5.8S ribosomal RNA
Rfam family: Eukaryotic small subunit ribosomal RNA (bases 1-73)
Source: RNAcentral
CCAAACUUGGUCAUUUAGAGGAAGUAAAAGUCGUAACAAGGUUUCCGUAGGUGAACCUGCGGAAGGAUCAUUAUUGAACAAACCGGCGGGCUAAGUUGCUGGCCUCCUUGGAGGCAUGUGCACGGUCUGCCAUUGUUUCAUCCUUCUCUUCCACCUGUGCACUUCUGUGGGCCCACUCCAGCGCACGCCGUGUGCUGGACUCUGGUGCCUACGUUUUCACUAUCCACACCAUUGAAUGUUCAGAAUGUAUGUAUCAGGCAUUCGUGCCUAUAAAACCUUAUACAACUUUCAACAACGGAUCUCUUGGUUCUCGCAUCGAUGAAGAACGCAGC